Molecule: small nuclear RNA, 99 nt
Filed under: Giardia lamblia ATCC 50803
Lineage: Eukaryota; Fornicata; Diplomonadida; Hexamitidae
Description: U4 small nuclear RNA
Rfam family: Giardia U4 spliceosomal RNA
Source: RNAcentral
GACUCUAGGCUGAAGCUGCCAAGGUGCGUGAUCCCUCGGUGAUGCCUUGAGUGUUGCUUCACCAAAGAACAACCACACGGCACAGCCGAAUCUCUCAUU